Molecule: ribosomal RNA, 177 nt
Filed under: Klebsiella pneumoniae
Lineage: Bacteria; Pseudomonadati; Pseudomonadota; Gammaproteobacteria; Enterobacterales; Enterobacteriaceae
Description: partial 23S ribosomal RNA
Rfam family: Bacterial large subunit ribosomal RNA
Source: RNAcentral
AAGUGCUGAAAGCAUCUAAGCACGAAACUUGCCCCGAGAUGAGUUCUCCCUGAGACUUUAAGUCUCCUGAAGGAACGUUAAAGACGAUGACGUUGAUAGGCCGGGUGUGUAAGCGCAGCGAUGCGUUGAGCUAACCGGUACUAAUGAACCGUGAGGCUUAACCUUACAACGCCGAAG